Leptinotarsa decemlineata (Colorado potato beetle) is the source of this 472-nucleotide long non-coding RNA. NCBI's taxonomy places the organism in Eukaryota, Metazoa, Arthropoda, Insecta, Coleoptera, Chrysomelidae. The record is from RefSeq and is a predicted model, not a curated record.
GACAAGGCAACCAAUAUUUGUGCAACUCUUACAAUCCGCGUUCAGGGUAUCACAAUGUCCUUGGCUAGCUCCAUCACAGCGAUUUGUAGUUGAAAAUUGUAUUCGUACACUAUCAGAAGUUGCCAAGAAUAGAGGAAUUGCCAUACCUUUGGAUCUAGAAGGUCAAGUGACUGCAAUGUUUAAUAAAGCUACUAUUUUAACUCGUCAAACCAGUAAAUGGUUACAGGCUUCAAAAACACCAAAAAUGGAAAGAUCUCAAUCUCAACUUAUGCGGCUGGACAGAAGUAUAAUUGAAGGUCUUCAAGAUAUAGUUUCUGUAUUAGAAGAUCAGUUGAAACCAUUAGUGCAGUCGGAACUUUCUUUGUUGGUGGAUGUUUUAUACAGACCUGAACUAUUGUUUCCUCCAGAAACUGAGCCUAGAAAGAAAUGUGAAAGUGGUGGAUUCAUUCGAAGGUACAGUUGUUUUCAUUCA